Molecule: ribosomal RNA, 834 nt
Filed under: Alexandrium catenella
Lineage: Eukaryota; Dinophyceae; Gonyaulacales; Pyrocystaceae
Description: partial large subunit ribosomal RNA
Rfam family: Eukaryotic large subunit ribosomal RNA
Source: RNAcentral
GGAGCUAUUGGCUUUGAAUUGUAUUGUGGAAAUGUAUUACCAACAGAGGUGCAGGUGCCAGCCUAUUGAAAUAAAGCGUCAAUGAGGGUGAGAAUCCUGUUUGUCAUGUGCAGCCCUUUGUGCACGGUGUAUAUUUGCUGAGUCACACUCCUUGGCAUUGGAAUGCAAAGUGGGUGGUAAGUUUCAUGUAAAGGUAAACAUGCAAUUGAGACUGAUAGCACACAAGUACCAUGAGGGAAAUAUGAAAAGGACUUUGAAAAGAGAAUUAAAUGAGUUUGUAUUUGCUGAACACAAAGUAAACAGACUUGAUUUGCUUGGUGGGAGUGUUGCACUUGCUUGACAAGAGCUUUGGGCUGUGGGUGUAAUGAUUCUUUCUUUGCAUGCCAGUUUCUAUUUGUACAUCUGAUUACCUUUGCACAUGAAUGAUAAGUCUCCUGUGGGGGGUGGAUUGCAUGUGCAUGUAAUGAUUUGUGUUUUGAUAAAUGUGUCUGGUGUAUGUGUGUGUUCCUGUGCUUGGGGAUGCUUCCUUCCUUGGACUUACAAGCCCUGACACACACAUGCUGGCAAAAUGCUUCUGCUUGACCCGUCUUGAAACACGGACCAAGGAGUCUAACAGAUGUGCAAAGUUUGAAGGUGGUAUACCUUUGUGUGCAAUGAAAGUGUCAGCUGGGAUAUGUGCACCAGCACCCAAUUAAUUAGCGGACAGAGGUUUGAGUUGGAGCAUAUCUAUUAGGACCCGAAAGAUGGUGAACUAUGCCUGAACAGAAUGAAUUCAGAGGAAACUCUGAUGGAGGUUCGUAUCGAUACUGACGUGCAAAUCGUUCGUCAUAUUUG